GAUGAACGCUGGCGGCGUGCCUAAUACAUGCAAGUCGAACGGAGUUUAGCCUUCGUGAUCUUCGGUUCAAAUAGGGCAAGACUGAGUGGUGUACGGGUGAGUAACACGUUAGUAACCUGGCUCAGUUAGGGGCGUAACAUAGAGAAAUUUCUGCUAAUACCGUAUAAGCACACACUGCCGCAUGUUAGAGUGUGAAAAGAGUAUCGCUAUGAUAUGGACCUUCGUAUGAUUAUCCAGUUGGAAGGGUAAGAGCCUUCCAAAGCCACGAACAGUAGCCGAUUGGGGAGGAUGACCGGCAAAAUUGGAACUGAGACCGGGCCCGAACUCCUACGGGAGGAGGAGGUGGGGGAUAUUGCAAAAUGGGGAGAACCCUGAUCAAGCGACGCCGGGGGAGUGAAGCAGUAUUUGGGUAUGUAACGCUCUAUCAGCAGGGAAGAUUAUGACGGUACCUAAAUAAGAAGCACCGGCUAACUACGUG
Molecule: ribosomal RNA, 478 nt
Filed under: uncultured bacterium
Lineage: Bacteria
Description: partial 16S ribosomal RNA
Rfam family: Bacterial small subunit ribosomal RNA
Source: RNAcentral